GAGUAGCAAUACUUCUGGCGGCGACCGGCGGAAAGGGUGCGUAACGCGUGAGCAACAUUCCCGCAUCUGGGGGAUAAGCACUGGAAACGGUGUCUAAUACCCCAUAACAACAGGGUUCACAUGAACUUUGUUUGAAAGCUGCGACGGAUGCGGAUUGGCUCGCGUGACAUUAGCUAGUCGGCGGGGUAACGGCCCACCGAGGCGACGAUGUCUAGGGGUUCUGAGAGGAAGGUCCCCCACACUGGAACUGAGACACGGUCCAGACUCCUACGGGAGGCAGCAGUGAGGAAUAUUGGUCAAUGGGCGGAAGCCUGAACCAGCCAUGCCGCGUGAAGGAAUAAGGCCCUAUGGGUCGUAAACUUCUUUUGUGGUGGAGCAAUAAGGGCUACGCGUAGUCCGAUGAGAGUACAUCACGAAUAAGCAUCGGCUAACUCCGUGCCAGCAGCCGCGGUAAUACGGAGGAUGCAAGCGUUAUCCGGAUUUAUUGGGUUUAAAGGGUGCGUAGGCUGUGCCGCAAGUCGGGGGUGAAAGCCCGGGGCCCAACCCCGGAACUGCCCUCGAUACUGCGGCGCUGGAGUUCGGAUGCCGUGGGAGGAAUGAGUAGUGUAGCGGUGAAAUGCAUAGAUAUUACUCAGAACACCGAUUGCGAAGGCAUCUCACGAAUCCGACACUGACGCUGAGGCACGAAAGCGUGGGGAUCAAACAGGAUUAGAUACCCUGGUAGUCCACGCAGUAAACGAUGAUGACUAACUGUCGGCGAUAAACAGUCGGUGGCCAAGCGAAAGCGAUAAGUCAUCCACCUGGGGAGUACGUUCGCAAGAAUGAAACUCAAAGGAAUUGACGGGGCCCGCACAAGCGGAGGAACAUGUGGUUUAAUUCGAUGAUACGCGAGGAACCUUACCCGGGCUCGAACGGCUAGUGAACGACCCAGAGAUGGAAGA
This 941-nucleotide ribosomal RNA is filed under the name uncultured bacterium. Its description in RNAcentral is "bacterial SSU rRNA". It matches the Rfam family "Bacterial small subunit ribosomal RNA", at positions 74 to 1013 of the family's 1533-position model. The record is from RNAcentral.